Molecule: ribosomal RNA, 424 nt
Filed under: Verrucomicrobiota bacterium
Lineage: Bacteria; Pseudomonadati; Verrucomicrobiota
Description: Verrucomicrobia bacterium partial 16S ribosomal RNA
Rfam family: Bacterial small subunit ribosomal RNA
Source: RNAcentral
UGAGGAAUAUUGGUCAAUGGGCGAGAGCCUGAACCAGCCAAGUAGCGUGCAGGAAGACGGCCCUAUGGGUUGUAAACUGCUUUUAUGUGGGGAUAAAGUGCGUGACGUGUCAUGCAUUGCAGGUACCACAUGAAUAAGGACCGGCUAAUUCCGUGCCAGCAGCCGCGGUAAUACGGAAGGUCCGGGCGUUAUCCGGAUUUAUUGGGUUUAAAGGGAGCGUAGGCUGUCUAUUAAGCGUGUUGUGAAAUAUACCGGCUCAACCGGUGGCUUGCAGCGCGAACUGGUCGACUUGAGUAUGCAGGAAGUAGGCGGAAUUCAUGGUGUAGCGGUGAAAUGCUUAGAUAUCAUGACGAACUCCGAUUGCGCAGGCAGCUUACUGUAGCAUAACUGACGCUUAAGCUCGAAGGUGCGGGUAUCGAACAGG